This 253-nucleotide ribosomal RNA is filed under the name uncultured prokaryote. RNAcentral describes it as "partial 16S ribosomal RNA". It matches the Rfam family "Bacterial small subunit ribosomal RNA", at positions 525 to 777 of the family's 1533-position model. The record is from RNAcentral.
ACGGAGGGGGCUAGCGUUGUUCGGAAUUACUGGGCGUAAAGCGCACGUAGGCGGCUUUGUAAGUUAGAGGUGAAAGCCCGGAGCUCAACUCCGGAAUUGCCUUUAAGACUGCAUCGCUUGAAUCAUGGAGAGGUGAGUGGAAUUCCGAGUGUAGAGGUGAAAUUCGUAGAUAUUGGGAAGAACACCAGUGGCGAAGGCGGCUAUCUGGCCCGUUAUUGACGCUGAGGCGCGAAAGCGUGGGGAGCAAACAGGA